GAUGAACGCUGGCGGCGUGCCUAAUACAUGCAAGUCGAGCGAACGGACGAGAAGCUUGCUUCUCUGAUGUUAGCGGCGGACGGGUGAGUAACACGUGGAUAACCUACCUAUAAGACUGGGAUAACUUCGGGAAACCGUAGCUAAUACCGGAUAAUAUUUUGAACCGCAUGGUUCAAAAGUGAAAGACGGUCUUGCUGUCACUUAUAGAUGGAUCCGCGCUGCAUUAGCUAGUUGGUAAGGUAACGGCUUACCAAGGCAACGAUGCAUAGCCGACCUGAGAGGGGGAGCGGCCAAGCUGGAACUGGGACACGGUCCAGACUCCUACGGGAGGCAGCAGUAGGGAAUCUUCCGCAAUGGGCGAAAGCCUGACGGAGCAACGCCGCGUGAGUGAUGAAGGUCUUCGGAUCGUAAAACUCUGGUAUUAGGGAAGAACAUAUGUGUAAGUAACUGUGCACAUCUUGACGGUACCUAAUCAGAAAGCCACGGCUAACUACGUG
This 497-nucleotide ribosomal RNA is filed under the name uncultured bacterium. RNAcentral's name for it is "partial 16S ribosomal RNA". It matches the Rfam family "Bacterial small subunit ribosomal RNA", at positions 28 to 507 of the family's 1533-position model. The record is from RNAcentral.